Molecule: long non-coding RNA, 384 nt
Organism: Eurytemora carolleeae
Lineage: Eukaryota; Metazoa; Arthropoda; Copepoda; Calanoida; Temoridae
Exons: 2
Source: RefSeq, a predicted model, not a curated record
CUUGUAGUUCAAAGAUCGAGUAGAUCUGCUGACUACGGUAAACUGUCUGAAAUCCAUGUGGGGAUAUUUAGGAAAUACAUCAUGGCCGACAGUGCGACAUCCUCGUUUCGGAAUCAUACUUGUGAUUUGAGGAAGAUGUGAAAUGAUGAUUUAAACUAAGGAUUAAAUCUAAAAUAAUCAGUUUUUUAAAGUGAAAACGUUUACAUAAGUGAACGUGAAGAAGUUUUAUCAUUUCAUAAUAUUAGUCUUAAAAUUUAUCGUUUCAAUUUCAGAAUCCUACAAUAAAAUGGCACCCCCAGCAUUCGGAGAUAUCGGCAAACAGUCCCGGGAUGUUUUUGGCAAGGGAUAUCACUUUGGUCUGGUUAAGCUUGAAGUCAAGUCUAA